GUAUGGGCUAAAGAUUAAAUUAACACUACCCACCACAAGUGUUAAUGGUUUUCUUGACUCUCUUCAGUGCUGUUUUAGCAUUCUCAAAUAAAAUAAGCUUGGGUAUAGGACUGGUAUGGAAGGGAGAACAAGUUUACCCCAAUCUGUGGGAGAAUUCCAUGGCUCCCUGAUUUUGUUUAUCCAUCCUAUUUAUGGAGCUUUAUCACUUCUGUGGGAUUUCUGGCACUUUGCUUCUUUUCUGUAUGUAUCAUUUUUGCAAUAGGGCAUCUUGCCUAUUUUCCAGAAAACAUUUUUAUGUUGUCCCUCUCAUUAAAGAGAAGGUUUAUUUUCCCAUUAACUCCUAAAGAAGGCAGAACUAAUCAGCUGUGGAGUUUUAGCCCACUGAUCAAUGCUAUCUGUAAAUUGCGUUGGAAGGCUAAUUCCUUGUUUCUGCACUAAAGAACCAUAGGAAAUAAUGCAGGUCAAGAACAAGGACAUAUCCCAUGCAAGCAGACAGACUCCAGCCAGCAUAAACUGUGGUGAUUGCAUGGAGGAGGAGGAGGAGGAGGAGGAGGAGGAGGAGGAGGAGGAGGAGGAUGUCUCUGCACAAGGAACAGUACAGGGAAAACUGUGUGGAAACAUCCCCAUCUUCUGUGUCUUGGCCCCGUGGGAAUUUCCUGAAGACUUAGGAACUCCACGGCAAAACUCUUCUGACAGAAGAAAGCCUGCUGAAUUUGGGAAGUGUAUACACAAGUGAACAGCUCACAUUAGUGCACAGUAUUGAGUUGACCUUAUGCUUCAAGAACAUGAAGGCAUCAUCACUUCUUCAAGAAUCUGGUGCAACUGAUAUAUAAACCAUGAGGAGGUUAAAAAUGAUAACCAUAAAAAUACUUGGAGAAGACUCAUGGUAGUUACAAAACAAAAGUAUUCUACUGCCUUUGUUUCAUUUGCUUCAAAAAUGAGUCCAUGCAAAAUUUUCCUCCACACAGAUUAAAUAUCUGCUUGGUCUCCAAUUUUUUGAGUUAAUGAACAACACUAAUGAAUUUUUAUGUGACCAUCCAUAACUAUAUUUGCUAUAGGUAAUCUUUCAUGUCUUCAUCUUCAUAGAGAAGGGUGUUUACUUUUAUCAGUAAAACUGCUAUUGUUUUUGUUCCAAAACCUCCACUGAUGGCAUCAGCAUUUCUGUGGCCAGAGUAACUUCUUUAUAGCUGGAGUAGGGAAGGUACAGCAAGUUUCUGGCAUUUACAAACAUGUGGUCAAAGUGAUUUGAGAUGAUUAUAUUCAGAAUGAAAUGAAAUCCACAGUUGUCGAAUUCACAGUGUAUCAAACAAACCAUGAGCUGGCAGCAGGCAAAAUUCCUAUCUGCACCCCAAGGACAUGGAAUUCUUCACACCAUCAAAGCUCUCUGAGAUAUUGAGCCCUCAUAGAUGUUGUGUUAGUCUGAGGGUUGUAACUAGUCUUCAGUCUUGAUCAAUUGAAGUUCAUCCUUGCUAUACUUUUAGUCAUUGGCUAGAAUGUUGAGGUCACAUCAAUAAAGCAGAAAAGUAAGGUUGUUAAGAUUUUAAG
Molecule: long non-coding RNA, 1545 nt
Filed under: Anser brachyrhynchus (Pink-footed goose)
Lineage: Eukaryota; Metazoa; Chordata; Aves; Anseriformes; Anatidae
Description: lncRNA (ENSABRG00000010643.1)
Source: RNAcentral